AGAGAGCUCAAGAGAGAAAGAAACCAAGGGAGGGGGUCAGGGUGAAGGGGUCUCAGGAGGUGACAUGGAAGACAACAGGGAGGACAGGUGGAGACCUCAGGGUGCCGGCUGAGUCCCAGGCCCUUCCUGAUGGGUUUGGGUGGAGCAGCUCUGCUGCUCCGGUCCCUCUAAGGAGGGCCUCAGCCUAGGGCGCAGCAGAGAAGGUGGGAUGGAGACUGCCAUCACCCGGAUGCCACCCUGACUCACUGUUGGUCCCCCUACAGGUCAGCAGCGGACUAAAGCCACAACCCCAGCCAGGGAACCCUUCCAAAACACAGAGGAGCCAUAUGAGAAUAUCAGGAAUGAAGGACAAAAUACAGAUCCCAAGCUAAAUCCCAAGGAAAAACUACAAAUAUGUAUCUUUCUGCAAGCCUUUCCAGAUCGAUCUGCCUCAUUCCAGGAUGGCCAGGGCCAGGCACUGUAGCUCACGUCUACAAUCCCAACACUUUGGGAGGCUGAAAUGGGAGAAUCGUUUGCAGCCAUGAGUU
Molecule: long non-coding RNA, 527 nt
Filed under: Homo sapiens (human)
Lineage: Eukaryota; Metazoa; Chordata; Mammalia; Primates; Hominidae
Description: Novel transcript
Source: RNAcentral